RNAcentral lists this ribosomal RNA (206 nucleotides) under uncultured delta proteobacterium. Its description in RNAcentral is "partial 16S ribosomal RNA". It matches the Rfam family "Bacterial small subunit ribosomal RNA", at positions 568 to 774 of the family's 1533-position model. Lineage: Bacteria; Deltaproteobacteria. The record is from RNAcentral.
CGCGUAGGCGGUUUGUAAGUCAGAUGUGAAAGCCCGGGGCUUAACCCCGGAAGUGCAUUUGAUACUGCAAGACUUGAGUAUGGGAGAGGGUAGUGGAAUUCCUGGUGUAGAGGUGAAAUUCGUAGAUAUCAGGAGGAACACCGGUGGCGAAGGCGGCUACCUGGACCAAUACUGACGCUGAGGCGCGAAGGCGUGGGGAGCAAACA